GAAAUACUCCCUCCGUCCGAAAAUACUUGUCAUCAAAAUGGACAAAAAUGGAUGUAUCUAGAACUAAAAUACAUUUAGAUACAUCACCUUUUAUUCAUUUUGAUGACAAGUAUUUCUGGAUGGAGGCAGUAUAAG
Molecule: non-coding RNA, 135 nt
Organism: Triticum aestivum (bread wheat)
Lineage: Eukaryota; Viridiplantae; Streptophyta; Magnoliopsida; Poales; Poaceae
Source: Rfam